GGACUGUCUGUUAGCAACUUCAAUUGAUCACGCUAGUUUACUGUCAGCACUUUUGAGAAAGGUACAAGGCUUCUCUCCGGCAUACUCGCAGCGGUCAUUUCGUCUACACACCAGAGGGGAGCGCAAGAGUGGGUCGAUAGCCAGAAUAAAAAAACGCUUUGAACUUCAGACAUAUAAAGCAACUUAACUGAUACCAUAUCAAAUCGCACAGCACGCAUGCUAUCCGUUUGCUGUGUGCAGUGUACCCAAUAGUCAGGUGCCUUUCAUUACAUUUCUGUUCUCUGCAGCGCUGUGGACACCACAGAAAUGUCCCAGUUAGCAAAAGCUUCCGUAUCAGAUAUACACCCAUGUGAUACGAAAACUGCUCCCUUCGAAGUUUCAUUCUUGGAACGGAAAGACGACAACACCUCUGCUCUGCCUUCUAUCCAUGACAGAGAGGCCAUAGGUUUUAUUGGUCUGCCAAAAGAUUAUGGGGAUAACCCGCAGCAGAAAUGCGUGAGUGAGCUUUCAGCCUUAAACACCGAAUUAGCACACACGGCGAGCACUGGUGUAAUGGCACCCAAUAGUGUUUGGCGUUGCGCUGUGUGCCACAAGGUGAAGGACCUGAAGGGCCCCCACUUAGACGGCAAGGCGAGUGUGCGCUCGGACUGCUGGCCGUGCGGCAAGAAAACAACCUUUGUACAAGAGGACAGUGGCGAUGGUUCACUGGUAGGCGCCGACCGUCGAGCCAGCCGUCUCGCGGAAGCUGCAGGCGGCGAGGGAGCGCCGGUUUUACGGGAGCUGCGCUCUACUGUAUUCAAAACUCCCGUUGUACCGUCCGAGUCGGAGGAGCAGCGCUACAUGCUGCCAGUUACGAGGGGUGGCGGAGCACAAGGAUCCGUAGAAGAUACAAGCGUUGUGGUGCUGUCGGGAAAUGCCCUUUGGCGUUGCGCUGUGUGCCACAAGGUGAAGGACCUGAAGGGCCCCACUUAGACGGCAAGGCGAGUGUGCGCUCGGACUGCUGGCCGUGCGGCAAGAAAACAACCUUUCUCCGCGAUGCCAGCGCUAUGUCUCGGCAUGGUGCCGUUACGACACCAACUGCCUCCCAACCGCAGGCGCCUAACGGCGCUGAUGCAGCUGCUCAUGCACCUGACAGCCCAAGUGCCAGCGUGUUUGCAGCGUCUGCCGCCACAUCAUCGUCGCAAGUGCUUGUUUCUUCUCCCGGUGCCACUAACAUGCCAGCGGGUACUGCGCCGUUCAAGAGCGCCUUUGGUGCCGUGUCUGCACCGGAUGCGGCCAAGCCUGCUGCAGCGCCGUCCAAGAGCGCCUUUGGUGCCGUGUCUGCACCGGAUGCGGCCAAGCCUGCUGCAGCGCCGUCCAAGAGCGCCUUUGGUGGCGUUGGGGAGUGGUCAGGGCCGAUGCCACCUAUCGGCUCAGCGGUGAAGAGCAGUUGCGGAUCGAUUAGUGAUGAAGUUUCGGCCAUGUGCUCAUUGAACUCUUCUUCGGAAAAGCUGAUGUCAGGCGUUACCCGGCAGUCGCCAAAGGCUGUGACCGCGCCUACUGGAGCUGCAAGGGCUGAGGCGGCAGGCUUGGCGGAAAGUAGCUGCGUUUUGCCGGAGAGGGUGUGGCGCUGUGUUGUGUGCCACAAGGUGAAGGACCUGAAGGGCCCCCACUUAGACGGCAAGGCGAGUGUGCGCUCGGACUGCUGGCCGUGCGGCAAGAAAACAACCUUUGUACAAGAGGACAGUGGCGAUGGUUCACUGGUAGGCGCCGACCGUCGAGCCAGCCGUCUCGCGGAAGCUGCAGGCGGCGAGGGAGCGCCGGUUUUACGGGAGCUGCGCUCUACUGUAUUCAAAACUCCCGUUGUACCGUCCGAGUCGGAGGAGCAGCGCUACAUGCUGCCAGUUACGAGGGGUGGCGGAGCACAAGGAUCCGUAGAAGAUACAAGCGUUGUGGUGCUGUCGGGAAAUGCCCUUUGGCGUUGCGCUGUGUGCCACAAGGUGAAGGACCUGAAGGGCCCCCACUUAGACGGCAAGGCGAGUGUGCGCUCGGACUGCUGGCCGUGCGGCAAGAAAACAACCUUUCUCCGCGAUGCCAGCGCUAUGUCUCGGCAUGGUGCCGUUACGACACCAACUGCCUCCCAACCGCAGGCGCCUAACGGCGCUGAUGCAGCUGCUCAUGCACCUGACAGCCCAAGUGCCAGCGUGUUUGCAGCGUCUGCCGCCACAUCAUCGUCGCAAGUGCUUGUUUCUUCUCCCGGUGCCACUAACAUGCCAGCGGGUACUGCGCCGUCCAAGAGCGCCUUUGGUGCCGUGUCUGCACCGGAUGCGGCCAAGCCUGCUGCUGCGCCGUUCAAGAGCGCCUUUGGUGGCAUAUCUGCACCGGAUGUGGCCAAGCCUGCUGCUGCGCCGUUCAAGAGCGCCUUUGGUGCCGUGUCUGCACCGGAUGCGGCCAAGCCUGCUGCUGCGCCGUCCAAGAGCGCCUUUGGUGCCGUGUCUGCACCGGAUGCGGCCAAGCCUGCUGCUGCGCCGUCCAAGAGCGCCUUUGGUGGCGUUGGGGAGUGGUCAGGGCCGAUGCCACCUAUCGGCUCAGCGGUGAAGAGCAGUUGCGGAUCGAUUAGUGAUGAAGUUUCGGCCAUGUGCUCAUUGAACUCUUCUUCGGAAAAGCUGAUGUCAGGCGUUACCCGGCAGUCGCCAAAGGCUGUGACCGCGCCUACUGGAGCUGCAAGGGCUGAGGCGGCAGGCUUGGCGGAAAGUAGCUGCGUUUUGCCGGAGAGGGUGUGGCGCUGUGUUGUGUGCCACAAGGUGAAGGACCUGAAGGGCCCCCACUUAGACGGCAAGGCGAGUGUGCGCUCGGACUGCUGGCCGUGCGGCAAGAAAACAACCUUUGUACAAGAGGACAGUGGCGAUGGUUCACUGGUAGGCGCCGACCGUCGAGCCAGCCGUCUCGCGGAAGCUGCAGGCGGCGAGGGAGCGCCGGUUUUACGGGAGCUGCGCUCUACUGUAUUCAAAACUCCCGUUGUACCGUCCGAGUCGGAGGAGCAGCGCUACAUGCUGCCAGUCACGAGGGGUGGCGGAGCACAAGGAUCCGUAGAAGAUACAAGCGUUGUGGUGCUGUCGGGAAAUGCCCUUUGGCGUUGCGCUGUGUGCCACAAGGUGAAGGACCUGAAGGGCCCCCACUUAGACGGCAAGGCGAGUGUGCGCUCGGACUGCUGGCCGUGCGGCAAGAAAACAACCUUUCUCCGCGAUGCCAGCGCUAUGUCUCGGCAUGGUGCCGUUACGACACCAACUGCCUCCCAACCGCAGGCGCCUAACGGCGCUGAUGCAGCUGCUCAUGCACCUGACAGCCCAAGUGCCAGCGUGUUUGCAGCGUCUGCCGCCACAUCAUCGUCGCAAGUGCUUGUUUCUUCUCCCGGUGCCACUAACAUGCCAGCGGGUACUGCGCCGUCCAAGAGCGCCUUUGGUGCCGUGUCUGCACCGGAUGCGGCCAAGCCUGCUGCUGCGCCGUUCAAGAGCGCCUUUGGUGGCAUAUCUGCACCGGAUGUGGCCAAGCCUGCUGCUGCGCCGUUCAAGAGCGCCUUUGGUGCCGUGUCUGCACCGGAUGCGGCCAAGCCUGCUGCUGCGCCGUUCAAGAGCGCCUUUGGUGGCAUAUCUGCACCGGAUGCGGCCAAGCCUGCUGCUGCGCCGUUCAAGAGCGCCUUUGGUGACAUAUCUGCACCGGAUGUGGCCAAGCCUGCUGCUGCGCCGUUCAAGAGCGCCUUUGGUGCCGUGUCUGCACCGGAUGCGGCCAAGCCUGCUGCUGCGCCGUCCAAGAGCGCCUUUGGUGCCGUGUCUGCACCGGAUGCGGCCAAGCCUGCUGCUGCGCCGUUCAAGAGCGCCUUUGGUGCCGUGUCUGCACCGGAUGCGGCCAAGCCUGCUGCUGCGCCGUCCAAGAGCGCCUUUGGUGCCGUGUCUGCACCGGAUGCGGCCAAGCCUGCUGCUGCGCCGUUCAAGAGCGCCUUUGGUGCCGUGUCUGCACCGGAUGCGGCCAAGCCUGCUGCUGCGCCGUCCAAGAGCGCCUUUGGUGCCGUGUCUGCACCGGAUGCGGCCAAGCCUGCUGCUGCGCCGUUCAAGAGCGCCUUUGGUGACAUAUCUGCACCGGAUGUGGCCAAGCCUGCUGCUGCGCCGUUCAAGAGCGCCUUUGGUGCCGUGUCUGCACCGGAUGCGGCCAAGCCUGCUGCUGCGCCGUUCAAGAGCGCCUUUGGUGCCGUGUCUGCACCGGAUGCGGCCAAGCCUGCUGCUGCGCCGUUCAAGAGCGCCUUUGGUGCCGUGUCUGCACCGGAUGCGGCCAAGCCUGCUGCUGCGCCGUCCAAGAGCGCCUUUGGUGCCGUGUCUGCACCGGAUGCGGCCAAGCCUGCUGCUGCGCCGUUCAAGAGCGCCUUUGGUGCCGUGUCUGCACCGGAUGCGGCCAAGCCUGCUGCUGCGCCGUUCAAGAGCGCCUUUGGUGCCGUGUCUGCACCGGAUGCGGCCAAGCCUGCUGCUGCGCCGUCCAAGAGCGCCUUUGGUGCCGUGUCUGCACCGGAUGCGGCCAAGCCUGCUGCUGCGCCGUCCAAGAGCGCCUUUGGUGGCGUUGGGGAGUGGUCAGGGCCGAUGCCACCUAUCGGCUCAGCGGUGAAGAGCAGUUGCGGAUCGAUUAGUGAUGAAGUUUCGGCCAUGUGCUCAUUGAACUCUUCUUCGGAAAAGCUGAUGUCAGGCGUUACCCGGCAGUCGCCAAAGGCUGUGACCGCGCCUACUGGAGCUGCAAGGGCUGAGGCGGCAGGCUUGGCGGAAAGUAGCUGCGUUUUGCCGGAGAGGGUGUGGCGCUGUGUUGUGUGCCACAAGGUGAAGGACCUGAAGGGCCCCCACUUAGACGGCAAGGCGAGUGUGCGCUCGGACUGCUGGCCGUGCGGCAAGAAAACAACCUUUGUACAAGAGGACAGUGGCGAUGGUUCACUGGUAGGCGCCGACCGUCGAGCCAGCCGUCUCGCGGAAGCUGCAGGCGGCGAGGGAGCGCCGGUUUUACGGGAGCUGCGCUCUACUGUAUUCAAAACUCCCGUUGUACCGUCCGAGUCGGAGGAGCAGCGCUACAUGCUGCCAGUUACGAGGGGUGGCGGAGCACAAGGAUCCGUAGAAGAUACAAGCGUUGUGGUGCUGUCGGGAAAUGCCCUUUGGCGUUGCGCUGUGUGCCACAAGGUGAAGGACCUGAAGGGCCCCCACUUAGACGGCAAGGCGAGUGUGCGCUCGGACUGCUGGCCGUGCGGCAAGAAAACAACCUUUCUCCGCGAUGCCAGCGCUAUGUCUCGGCAUGGUGCCGUUACGACACCAACUGCCUCCCAACCGCAGGCGCCUAACGGCGCUGAUGCAGCUGCUCAUGCACCUGACAGCCCAAGUGCCAGCGUGUUUGCAGCGUCUGCCGCCACAUCAUCGUCGCAAGUGCUUGUUUCUUCUCCCGGUGCCACUAACAUGCCAGCGGGUACUGCGCCGUCCAAGAGCGCCUUUGGUGCCGUGUCUGCACCGGAUGCGGCCAAGCCUGCUGCAGCGCCGUUCAAGAGCGCCUUUGGUGCCGUGUCUGCACCGGAUGCGGCCAAGCCUGCUGCAGCGCCGUCCAAGAGCGCCUUUGGUGACAUAUCUGCACCGGAUGUGGCCAAGCCUGCUGCUGCGCCGUUCAAGAGCGCCUUUGGUGCCGUGUCUGCACCGGAUGCGGCCAAGCCUGCUGCUGCGCCGUUCAAGAGCGCCUUUGGUGCCGUGUCUGCACCGGAUGCGGCCAAGCCUGCUGCAGCGCCGUCCAAGAGCGCCUUUGGUGACAUAUCUGCACCGGAUGUGGCCAAGCCUGCUGCUGCGCCGUUCAAGAGCGCCUUUGGUGCCGUGUCUGCACCGGAUGCGGCCAAGCCUGCUGCUGCGCCGUUCAAGAGCGCCUUUGGUGGCAUAUCUGCACCGGAUGCGGCCAAGCCUGCUGCUGCGCCGUCCAAGAGCGCCUUUGGUGCCGUGUCUGCACCGGAUGCGGCCAAGCCUGCUGCUGCGCCGUCCAAGAGCGCCUUUGGUGCCGUGUCUGCACCGGAUGCGGCCAAGCCUGCUGCUGCGCCGUCCAAGAGCGCCUUUGGUGCCGUGUCUGCACCGGAUGCGGCCAAGCCUGCUGCUGCGCCGUUCAAGAGCGCCUUUGGUGGCAUAUCUGCACCGGAUGCGGCCAAGCCUGCUGCUGCGCCGUCCAAGAGCGCCUUUGGUGCCGUGUCUGCACCGGAUGCGGCCAAGCCUGCUGCUGCGCCGUUCAAGAGCGCCUUUGGUGCCGUGUCUGCACCGGAUGCGGCCAAGCCUGCUGCUGCGCCGUCCAAGAGCGCCUUUGGUGCCGUGUCUGCACCGGAUGCGGCCAAGCCUGCUGCUGCGCCGUUCAAGAGCGCCUUUGGUGCCGUGUCUGCACCGGAUGCGGCCAAGCCUGCUGCUGCACAGUUGAGAGUUGUAUAUGAUGAUACUUAUUAUGUGAGCGAUUUUGGUGUUUCCAAGGAUGGUGAGGAGUUUUUACAGUUGAAUGAGGACUCAAAUCGGGGGAAAGACGCGCUGUUCGUCGAAGGACGACAGCUUAGUUUCUCAGAUGCAAGUAGCGGGGCCGCUGCGAAUGUUUGUGCUGCUGGACCGAGUGCCACCUCGUCUUGGGAUAUGGCUUUUUCGAAUGCGCUGGUGCCAUCUGCGGCCACAGGCUGUUGCUCAUCAGCUGUAGUGGAGAAACUGAUUAAUAAAGCCUUGAAAGAGCAGCGCGUGGAGAUGAAGGAAGAGUUGGAGUUUUUCCGCAAGGAUUUAUUGUUCGAAGUUCGUCAGGCGAUCUCACAAGGACAUGUACAUGCUGUGGCGAAGGACCGGGCGUGUUUCGAGGAGCCACCUGCACAGAUGACGGAGAGCCUCAUUCGCCGACAUUUAUCGAAGGCGUUUCGUAAAUCGUGAUUUUUUUGCUAAUGUUUUUAACGCAUAUCUUUCAUUUGGGGGAUUCUCUGUUGUUUAGUUUGACAACAUUAGCGACGGAAGGUCGGGUGGCAGUUUGCAAAGUGGCUGCGCAUGCCUUAGUGAAAAGGUGCCCUAGCAUUCUCACAUGCAUCGCAGCAACGAGAGUACGUCCCUCAAUUCGCCUUCUGCUUGGUGCACCUGAGGAUGGCGUGGAUGUAUGGAAUGUCUUCACUGUUCUUUGCUCUCUCUUCCUUGAUUGCUAGCCUCCUGAUGAGAAGGAAUACGCCAGCAUGGUAUCAGGGUACGGUGACUACUCUGUGAAGAGGCGACGCAGCUCCCACCUAUCCAAUGCCGAUGCCGAGCAAGCCUCUGGUGGUGACAAGGCUAGGCACCUACGACUUGGGGGGAGGUCAGCGCGAUGUAUCGCCACUGAUGUCGGCGGUGAGGUUCUGGAUGGCGUUGCAUUGUGGGGCGACCUGCGACUGUG
This 7416-nucleotide unclassified non-coding RNA is filed under the name Leishmania donovani. RNAcentral describes it as "gene:LdHU3.28.4340(CDS-product:hypothetical_prote in_conserved)". Lineage: Eukaryota; Euglenozoa; Kinetoplastea; Trypanosomatida; Trypanosomatidae. The record is from RNAcentral.